Molecule: long non-coding RNA, 315 nt
Filed under: Salmo salar (Atlantic salmon)
Lineage: Eukaryota; Metazoa; Chordata; Actinopteri; Salmoniformes; Salmonidae
Description: lncRNA (ENSSSAG00000100254.1)
Source: RNAcentral
GUAGCAACACAACAUGACAACAACAUGGUAGCAACAGAACAUGGCAGCAGCACAACAUGGUAACAACACAACAUGGCAACAGCACAACAUGGUAGCAGCACAAAACAUGGUACAAACAUUAUUGGGCACAGACAACACCCCAAAGGCAAGAAGGACCUGAGCCCUAGGACCAUGCCUCAGGACCACCUGGUAUGAUGACUCCUUGCUGUCCCCAGUCCACCUGGCCGUGCUGCUGCUCCAGUUUCAACUGUUCUGCCUGCGGCUAUGGAACCCUGACCUGUUCACCGGACGUGCUUGUUGCACCCUCGACAACUA